CGACAUGUUUAUGCAAGCUCUUUUAUAGACUAGCACAUCCAAAGACAAUCAUAACCCAUCUACCUAACAUAAGAGCAACAACACAAAUCAAAGUCCCUACGUGAUUAAUGCCAAACAAAUGCUCUAACGUAGUGCACAAUGGACAUUUGAUACAUCAAUGAAUGUAAAGUAGAAAUACAUGCUGAAUAAACUACUGCACAAGAUCGAACAUCAGUAGGAAUAAAAGCAAGAUUUUAUUUUUUAAUUUUUUGCAAGCAAAGAGCUAUGCAUUCUUACACCAUAUCUCUUUUCUGUAAAACUUACUUAUUUCCUCGCUAUUCGAUUCAAUUAUGUCACUGCCAAGCCACUGUUAAGCACUUGUAGUUAUACAUAUGACGAACAAAAACCAGAUCACAAAUUUAAUAUCUUCCACAUGCCAACAAUAACUUCUUAUAACAGUAAGAUCAAUCUACACGAAUAGGACAUAAGCUAAACAAUUUAUGAACCAAAAACUACUCCCUUGACUUUGUGAAAUAUGUUUUCAAAAUGCAGAAAAUGGAAAUUAUCAACCCAGAUAUCACAAUCCUGAAACUCCAUCCUAUAAGCUUCUUAAAACUGGAAUUACCUUAGCUUCCUUUGCAAUAUAAUACCAAUUAUCGCAGUAGCAGUGUUAUGUAUUGAUGCUAAAACGUCUAGUAAAGGCAACGAAAGCAAAUUCCACUUAGAAAAUACUAAAGUUUAAAUAGAGAUAAAGACAAAGCAACGAAUGCCCACAAUCAGAUAUACCACAAAUUUGACAUUAGUAUAAUGGACCAUUAAUUAACUGUAGUCUUCUAACAAUGAAAUGAAAUCACCCAGAAAGAAGAGUUAAAAACAUGACAACUAGUCUCCAAACUAGAACUGAUUCGCAUAAUAAACUUGACGAACUCAUAUGAAAUUAGCAAACAACGAAGAGGAUAGGCCAGCAGCAUAUUUCAAUCGCAACCACGAAAGUAACAUAUCAAAUAACAGAGAAGAGGAGGACAAAUGAACCUGAACUGCUUUCGAUAUUUUUGAAUCUUCGACAAUUACAAUCUAACGAGAAUUCCGAUAAUUGAACUCAAUAGGAAGAUGAAACAAACAGCAGCAACAGAUUCGAACAGAGGCCGCGAGCCAAAUUGGAACCUCAAACCAGAAACCUCGACUGAAAUCGCACGGAACCGAAAAACUUCAGCAACCAGGCAGCAAAUUUUGACCUCAAAAACCCCUUUGGAAAUCCAGAUUUUUUAAAAACCUUUUCCUGGUUUUCAGAUCUUUCGGAGUUGUGCGGUUUUCUUUGUAACUUUGAAUUCCCAAAUCUGAUUUUUCGGAAGAAUCCUUACUUUUUUUGUGUGUGUGUAGUGAGUCUGAAGCAGGUGUCGUUACAAAGAAAUGAAGAAGCAGGCGUCAGAAGCAGAACGUUGGUGUUGAAGAAGAACAAAUAUGCUCUUAGGUUAUCAAAAUGAAGAAGAACGGCGUGGGUGGUGGUCUCAUUUUUG
This 1496-nucleotide long non-coding RNA is filed under the name Nicotiana tabacum (common tobacco). Its description in RNAcentral is "long non-coding RNA (NTAB_LNC011740)". Lineage: Eukaryota; Viridiplantae; Streptophyta; Magnoliopsida; Solanales; Solanaceae. The record is from RNAcentral.